GAUUAAGCAAUGACAAGGAAAGUAAAACGUAGGUACUUCCCCAAGAGAGAUCCCAUUUUGGUGAAAGGGAUUGUUAGUACUACCUUUGAAAAUGGCCUUCGAGCAUGAAGCUGCGAUAUUUAGUGGCUUCAGGGUCCGCCCUUUAUCGCGGUAGUGUAUCGCUUUUUGCCGUACAUGAACCAAGGUGGAAGACUCCAUAAAGAUUAGGUGGUACCGCGUUAAAGACGCCCUAUUA
RNAcentral lists this non-coding RNA (235 nucleotides) under Lactobacillus pasteurii. Its description in RNAcentral is "T-box sequence". It matches the Rfam family "T-box leader". From Rfam's summary of the family: Uncharged tRNA acts as the effector for transcription antitermination of genes in the T-box leader family. T-boxes are found upstream of many aminoacyl-tRNA synthetase genes and some amino acid biosynthetic genes usually in Gram-positive bacteria. Lineage: Bacteria; Bacillati; Bacillota; Bacilli; Lactobacillales; Lactobacillaceae. The record is from RNAcentral.